RNAcentral lists this ribosomal RNA (301 nucleotides) under uncultured bacterium. RNAcentral's name for it is "partial 16S ribosomal RNA". It matches the Rfam family "Bacterial small subunit ribosomal RNA", at positions 509 to 807 of the family's 1533-position model. The record is from RNAcentral.
CAGUCGCCGCGGUAAUACGUAGGGUGCGAGCGUUAAUCGGAAUUACUGGGCGUAAAGCGUGCGCAGGCGGUUGUGUAAGACAGGUGUGAAAUCCCCGGGCUUAACCUGGGAACUGCGCUUGUGACUGCACAGCUAGAGUAUGGCAGAGGGGGGUGGAAUUCCACGUGUAGCAGUGAAAUGCGUAGAGAUGUGGAGGAACACCGACGGCGAAGGCAGCCCCCUGGGCCAAUACUGACGCUCAUGCACGAAAGCGUGGGGAGCAAACAGGAUUAGAUACCCCCGUAGUCCCUGUCUCUUAUAC